This 90-nucleotide transfer RNA is filed under the name Emergomyces pasteurianus Ep9510. RNAcentral's name for it is "Emergomyces pasteuriana Ep9510 tRNA". It matches the Rfam family "tRNA". Rfam says of the family: Transfer RNA (tRNA) molecules are approximately 80 nucleotides in length. Their secondary structure includes four short double-helical elements and three loops (D, anti-codon, and T loops). Lineage: Eukaryota; Fungi; Ascomycota; Eurotiomycetes; Onygenales; Ajellomycetaceae. The record is from Rfam by way of RNAcentral.
GGCCGAGUGGUGUAGUUGGUUAUCACGUUUCGUUAACAAAAAAGAUCACUCGAUCCGAAAAGGUCCUGAGUUCGAGUCUCAGCUUGGUCA